Molecule: ribosomal RNA, 433 nt
Filed under: uncultured bacterium
Lineage: Bacteria
Description: partial 16S ribosomal RNA
Rfam family: Bacterial small subunit ribosomal RNA
Source: RNAcentral
AACGAACGCUGGCGGCAUGCCUAACACAUGCAAGUCGAACGAGACCUUCGGGUCUAGUUGCGCACGGGUGCGUAACGCGUGGGAACCUGCCCUUAGGUUCGGAAUAACUCCCCGAAAGGGGUGCUAAUACCGGAUAAUGUCUUCGCACCUAAGAUUUAUGGCCUUUGGAUGGGCGCGCGUUGGAUUCGCUGGUUGGUAGGGGAAAAGCCUGCCAAGGCGACGAUCCAUAGCUGGUCUGAGAGGAUGAUCAGCCACACUGGAGAUGAGACACGGCCCAGACUCGUACGGGGGGGAGCAGUGGGGAAUAUUGGAGAAGGGGGGAAGGCGUGGUCCAGCAGUGCCGGGGAAGUGAGGAAGGCGUUAGUGUUGUGAAUUUCUUUGACCCGGGAUGUGAAUGACAGUACCGGGUAAAGAAGCUCCGGCUAACUCCGUG